UACGUAGGGCGCAAGCGUUGUCCGGAAUUAUUGGGCGUAAAGAGCUCGUAGGCGGUUUGGCGCGUCUGCGGUGAAAGCCCGGGGCUUAACCCCGGGUGUGCCGUGGGUACGGGCAGACUAGAGUGCAGGAGGGGAGACUGGAAUUCCGGGUGUAGCGGUGGAAUGCGCAGAUAUCAGGAGGAACACCGAUGGCGAAGGCAGGUCUCUGGGCUGUUACUGACGCUGAGGAGCGAAAGCAUGGGGAGCGAACAGG
RNAcentral lists this ribosomal RNA (253 nucleotides) under uncultured bacterium. RNAcentral's name for it is "partial 16S ribosomal RNA". It matches the Rfam family "Bacterial small subunit ribosomal RNA", at positions 524 to 776 of the family's 1533-position model. The record is from RNAcentral.